AUCAUCAUAUACAUGUGACAUACAGGCCUAAUAGGCCAACAUAAUCAUUUAUAAACUCAAAACAUAGGUUGACAAGGCCGUACAAUCUUUUACAUACACGACAUACGUCUACAAGCCUCUAAGAGUACAUAAAUGUCAUAAAGGUCGGGAUAAAGUCCUGCUAUACCAAACAAUACACGUCUAAAUCAUACUAACCAAACAAGCAACUCUGAAGCAAAUGGAGCGCACCAACAUCUUCCGCUGAGCUGAUAGCCUACCUGGAGGGCUCUCGACCUAUCUAUCGGGACCUGUGGGGAUGAAACGCAGUGUCCCCAGGAAAAGGGAUGUUAGUAUGAAAAAUGUACCGAGUAUGUAAGGCACAUAAAUAAGUACAUAACAAACAUGGAAGAAAUAUAGAAUAAUCGACUCAACUUGUAAGUCUGGAUAACUUUGUAAAUCAUAAAUUACUUUUAGCAUCAUGUAUAUGCGUAUGAAUGUCAUGUCAUGCAUAGGUAUAUGUUUCAUAACAUCAUCAGCCUCUAAGGUCAUCCCAUCAUAUCAUAUCGACCACUGUGGGCCAAAUCAUCAUCGUAUACCAAAUGAUCAGGUGGUGGUACGUAUAUAACUCCAUAACCUUUCCUAUAUCCCAUAUACAUAUAUAUACAUACAUAUAUACACUUAUAUAACGCCAUCUGUUCAUGGGUCAAUGUACAUUAAUGCAAUGGAUGAAAAGCGCAUUAAUAAAAUCUUUCGGAAUGUCAUAGGACCAUUUUGCCUUUGAGUAAUAUCAUAAAGUAAACUCUUUCCAACUUUCGUAUUUUUCUGAGACCCAUGAGCAGAUGAUAAUAUAUUAUGACACAUGGAAAUUCAAGAACAUAGAUAUCUCUAAUACUUCUAUGAAUAGAGUUAUUCAUGGAAUUUGCGCAUUUGCAUGUUUCGUUCAUAUUGUAUGGAUCAUGCCAAAAGAAAGAAGGGAUAGCCUUAAUAUACCUGGAAUAGGAAAAAAUACGUAUGAUAUUCUUGGAAAAAGGUUGCACUGUAUUCCCUUAGAAUAACAAAAUCUCACGUUACUAGUGUGCUAAGAAAUCUCGUGGGAUUUUGGUUGAAGAAUGAAAAUCUUCAUUGCCGCAACGAACUUAAUUUUCUAAAGAUUAAUUUGAAAUUGGUAAACAUUGAGUGAUUGUUGGCGGCUAAGAGUGACAGAGAGGGGUAAUCCCACAAACAACUUUCCACAACUCUCUAAAUCCAACAACCUCAAACUUAAACUAAGUUUGAGGUAAAGUGAUUGUUGUCAUUUUUUGGUUCUGAAAAUAUUAGAAGUGAAGAUUGUUGAACUAACAUAGUUUGCCACAUAGCCAAAAAUGACUACGAGUCAUUUUGGUUAAAACUUAGCUUGUCGCCACGUUGAAGGUAAGGUUUCUUGUACUUAUCUAAUUGUUUUACUUAAUUAAUAAUUUAUUAAUCUGCCACUAACCAAUAAUUAAUCAAUUGUCCAUGUAAUUAAAAAUUAUCCCAAAUUACUUAAAAUACUACUCAUUUUUAAUAUACCCUUAUACAUCAUACUAUUAUGAUCAUAUGGUACCUUAUAUGGUACUAGUCCAUAAAUACGGGAUAUUAACGCUCAGCCCGUAUUUUAUCCCAACAUGCCAAACUUGGACGAAAAUUAUUUCUUUGACUUUCUUCCCCUCUCACUUUCACGAAUUUACUCAUCACUUGUUUGAAAUAGCAUAAACCUUAUAAUCUCCAAAUAAUCUUUUCCUUGGACUGACGUCAAUUACCUUAUGACAAAUUCAACGUACAAUACUAUAGGGUGCAACAUCAUCGUAAUUUAAUACUUCAGGACGUAACAUCGACGAAAUAUUAUGGGGCGUAACAUCAUUCCCCUCUUUGGAAUAUUCGUCCUUAAAUGUUGACUGAUGCUCUUAUCAUUUUUAUAACUUAUAGCUCUUUUGAAUACCUUAAUACUCUCUUUGUCACUUAGGUAAUUGUUCUGUGAAUAAAUCCAAAGGCUAGGACAUUCCCCCUUUUAGGCCUCUUUCUCAUACCACGACUUAUGGUGAGGAUCUUUCCAAUCUCGUAGCUGUUGCUACCUUUUAUCAUGCAGUCUGUACGACUUUGAUCUUAUAAGUGCGCCUGUGCGAUUCUUCUCCUGUUUUUCCUCUAACUUUUGGCCAAUCUCUAGGCCUCACUUCGCAAAUAUAUACAAAGCUUGAUGAAGUGUCCCUAUGGGCAUUUGUAGGUAUACUAAAGUUUUUCUCUCGGUAUUUUGUUAAAAUUGCGAUUAUUGCUACAUCUUAUUUCAUAGAACCGGUUAUCUAACCGCGUAAUUUUUUCUGCAUCUAGGUAGAUAAUACUAUACCAUAACUCUUACUUCGAUUUAUCGUUGCUGAGAUCUGCUAUCAAAUUCCCGCUUACUCUUGUUGCUUAUCCAAUAUGUAUAAAUCAAAGUCUUUUAAUGCUUCCUCAUUACUAUUCAUUUUAAGAAUGAUGGCCUAAUCUUAUGUCAUACUUUGUAACUUGUAUUAGUCCAUUGUUGAUUGACCUUAAUUUUGAUCUAUAAUUUACUACUUGAUGACUUGAAUUCUUAUGUAAUACAUUGUUUCUAGGGCCCACGUCUUAUCGGGGACAUCUAGAGUAAUUAGAUUGAUCCACCUAGGGGUGAUACUAUAUUUCCAUAACUGUACUUAAUAGCAUCACAAUGUGACUCACCUUAUAUGGGUAUUUUAUUCCCUUACAAUUCGUGAAAUCCUCUUCAAGUCAUUAUUCAAUCAAAGUCCCAAAUGUCAUUCUUUAUUAUCCAUCAUAAUUACACCCUCAUUCUACUACCAGAGCAGCAUUCCAUUUAUUUUAAAUGCCAUUAGUCUUAGACUCCUUUGGGUUCAUUCAGGCUAUACUGAGCUUUGUAUAACUUAGAGAAACCAUCAUCACUGCUUGUUUUCAUGGGCUUAAUCGUGAGGACUUAUCCAUUCUCGUCACCUUCUUACUCGCCCUUUCUUAUCCUUAUUCCCGACUUUCUAAAACCUUAUCGCUUUACCAUACUUUAAUUUUCCACUUACACAUAUCCAUUUAUACUACUCACAAUCUCCCUUCAACUUGCUUGCACCAUAGACUUCCUUACGUUAUUUCUGAAACAUCGAGCGAGACAUCGCAUUGUCUCAAACUCUUUUUUUACUCUUGUAAUUUAGACCUUUUGGUACUUAGAAACCAUAGGUUGAAAGGUAUGCUACUGACGACGCUGCUAUCGUUCCUGUAUACUGAAUCCCCGCGCUUCUAGCCUCUUAUCCGCAAUAUGGACUAUUCAUAACCUUAUGUAUUUGAUUAUCUUGUAUGUUGUUCACCUUUUCCUUAAUUAACUUAAAAUAUUGCCUCACAUUCUUCUAUUUCUUCCAUAACCUUCCUUCCACAUAGGUAUAAUUUACCUCCAUAACCUGAAGCUCUAUUGUAAUACUUGCACCUCUGGUACAUACAUAAUCCGGUGGGAAGUUCGUAAUGGCUUCUUAUGAGUCUAGUACUUCUUCUAACUGGCUUCCUUGUAGAGCCAUUAUAGAUUAUGGUUGUUGUAUUAUUUUUCUUGAACAUCUGAUAUUAAGAGUGAUUCUGUCAUGUUCUAAAGCAUAAGUUCUAUAGUCCAAUAAUCAGACUCUCGAUUUACUUGGGUGUUGUAAUUCUUUAGUUUCUUCUUCCUUUUGAUCAGCCUUUACGUAGGCUUAAGCUAUCUUCUGAUCUGUGGCUCAUGGUAUCAGUUAUUACCUUAGCCUUUCAUGGGCAUUAUGGAAUAUCCAUGACACGAUCUUCUAACAAUUCAAUCAUUUGUCUAUGUCCUAGACUCAAUUCUUUAUUUUAACUUAUACCGGAGUCCUCUGUGGAUAUGUGAUUGUCAACAAAUAUGCUGCCUGGAUAAUGCUCCAAAAUCUUGAGUGCAUUCAUAACACAACUAACUCUAGAUCAUUGAUCGAAUAAUUCCUUCCGUUACUUCUCAGCUUUCUUUAAAUGUAAGCAAUUACUUUCUUUGGUCGUUCUGCCACUUGUUGCAUGAAUAUUUGGCUUAUCUUAGUGCCCGCAUAUUUUGAAAUUCCAUACAACCCAUAUGAUCUUGAAUAUUACUUUUAAUUCUUACUUCCCGUUCAUUAGCCACGGUAGGUGCCAUUUUCCUUUGGAAUGCUUACAAUGUUGUUGCGAGAUUGUUGCUACACGACCAUUUCCUCUUUAGGUCGUUGUGCUUAGGUUGAAGCCUUCUUUCUUAUCUCCUCAGCUAGUCUUUCAUUGUAGUACUUAGGGAGAACCCUUGACUCUCGUAAAACUGUGAGCUUAUUAUGGACCUUUUUGAUGUCCUUACUUGCCUAUAAUCAUCCGUAGUUGCUUACUUCCAUGCCCUUAUGCUUGUAUGGUUGCUUCUGAACUGAUAUUUUGACUGCCUUCCCAGUGGCACUUUCUUUUAUCCCCGUAACACUUAUACGGUACCUUUAACUACCCCGACUCUUGUUUCAAUAUAUCUCAAGUAUUAUAAUGAUAUUCUUCGAGGUUGAAUUCUCCAUGUUGGGUUCUACUAUGUUUAUCUUACAUGAUCUGAUGACUCGUCUGUAACCUCCUAUUUAGCCAUAACUGGGAUCUUCCUGACCAAUUACUAACUACUCGUUGGCCCAUUCAUAUAUCAAUAUUACUCGUAAUCUUUCUUUGUUUAUUUCCUUUGUCUUAACUUACGUCUCGCAUUGGUUCCUUAUUUAUUAAUAACAACAUGGGCAGGAACCUUUACUUCCUCUCCUUUACGUCGUGCUUUCACAACAUUUUUGAAUCGUAGCGUAUCUGUAAGAUUUGGAUAAGUGCCAUCUCAUUCCUCUUUCAUUUAUUGCAUUCUUCCUUUACCAUUCCAUAGUCACUAGAACCACUUAAUUCUGACUUAAUGUCACAUCACUCCAUAUUCCCCCUUUUAGGGGUGUACUAAGAGCUGAAGCCACGAGGAUCUUCAUAUAGAUUUUUUACCUCUUCAUCUUUGGCAUUGUUUUUCAACGUCAAUGAUCCUUACUCGCCUUGCGACAAUCCUUCUGUACUAAGGAUGACAAAUUCCCUUACUCGCGAGGUUGUCACUUAAUGUAACUGGUACAUACAGUCUCAUAAGCUUAACUUUGCUAACAUUGCUUGCUUUUAGGGAGGCGUCUUCCUGAAUGACCAUUCUCUGAAGUUUUCACGAAUCUUCUUCUAUUGCCCAUCCUAUUAUUGCCGGAACGCGAUAUGAAAUUCUCAUGAUACUGACUAUUAUCAAAUCACUCAAUCCCUAAUUCAUAUUUAGUUUAUCUUGUUCACCAGUCCAUAUUAAUUUCUAUUAAUCUGGGAUUUAACUUUUUUUCUCUUGUUAAUCGCGCUAGAGUUGCGAACUAAUUUCUUGAAAUGAGAAUCUGACUUUAAGGCCUAUAUUCUUUUAUUGUCUCAUGGCAUGUCAUCUUUUGUAUUUUCCUUCACUUGACUGUAAACUCUGUAAUAGUGUCAUCAUUUUUUUGACCUACCGUUAUCAUUCGUGUAUCACAUCUUACUCAUAAUGCUUCAUUAAAUCUCUUCUUAUCUCCCGCUAAUUAUCUAUUUCUACCACUUUACUCUAAAAACUCGAACAAAAUAUUCUUUUGCUUUUGGCUCCCCUUGCUUCAUCCCUUGGCUCUUUCAAUUGCCUAACAUUCUUUCUUUACUGCGGGCGGGAGAUACACUAAAGUAAUAUUUAUUGCUUCAAGGCUUCCAGUGCUCAUAUCUAGUUUUAAUAUUUUAGGGUGCACCAUCUAGGUGUCUCACAAGGAGAUCUAUUAGCACACUUGUUGUGACGACCCGGCCAGUCGUCUCAUGAAUUUCUGCUCCGUUUCCCCCAUUUCUGCUUCUUAUUACUUUGUUUAUCGGUUCUAUGUGUGAUCGGGUUGGUAGCUCGGGUUCGGAAAGGUUUUGGUAAGGUUUGAGACACUUAGUCUCUUUUGAGGGAGCUUAAGUUAGAAAAGUCAACCGGAUGUUGACUUAUUUGUUAAAGGGCUCGGAUGUGAGUUCUGAUGAUUCGGAUAGCUUCGGCAGGUGAUUUGGGACUUAGGAGCAUGAUCGGAAUGUGUUGAAAUUCCGAAGUAGAUUUAGGCUUGAAUUGGCGAAAUUGGAAUUUUGGCGUUUUCUGAUUGAUAAGUGAGAUUUUGAUAUAGGUCGGAAUAGAAUUCCGGAAGUUGCAGUAGCUCCGUUGUGUCAUUUGGAAUGUGUGUGCAAAAUUUCAGGUCAUUCGGACAUGGUUUGGUAGACUUUUGUUCAAAAGCGUAAUUCGGAAGAUUUUGGGAACCUUAGGCUUGAAUCCAAUGUGUUUUGGUUGAUACGAUGUUGUUUGACAUGUUUUGAAGAUUGGUAUAAGUUUGGAUAGUGGUAUAGGACUUGUUGGUGCUUUUGGUUGAGGUCCCGAGGGCCUUGGGAUGAUUUCGGAUGGUUGGCGGAAAGUUUGGAAUUUGAAAAUUGCAGCUAAAGUUUUUAGGACUGCUGUCAUAAUUGCAACUGCGGUUGGGAGGCUGCAGGUGCGACCUCCGCAGAUGCGGAGGACCAGUCACAGAAGCAGAAAGAGCCUAGGAAGGCAGGAACCGCAGAAGCAGUUGAGGAACCGCACCUGCGAUGGUGCGGGUACGGAUUAGGCAUCACAGAUGCGGAGAUUGAGGAUUUAAGUGAGUACCACAAAUGCGGUGUAUGGACCGCAAAAGCGGUAUCUGGACCGCAAGUGUGAAAAGCUUGGUCCAGAAGGUAUAAAAGCACCCCUUCAUGAUGUUUGAGUUGUUCUUCACAAUUUCAAGUCGAUGUUGGAGCUUUUUGGGAGAUUUUGAAGAGGGAAUCAAGGGAUAUCGUCUGGAGAUAAGAUUUUUGAGUCUAAUAAUCGAUCCUAUGGAAUUAUUUCACUGAUUUAGCCUAAGAUUAAUGGAAAUUAAGGGUUAAAAUUUGGGAAACUAGGUCUUGGUAUUGGAGAUCUUGGCUCGAGGAUUUGAGGGGCCAUUUGUGGUUGGAUUUUCGGACUUUUGAUAUGUAUGAACUCGUGGGAAGAUAAGGAAUCUAUUGAUGUAAAUUUUAUCUAAUUCCGAGACGUGGGCCCGGGGGUCGCGUUUUGGUUAAUUUCGGGAUUUAUGUUGUAAAUUGAUUAUUUUUGCAUGGGCUUCGUUUCCUUAGCAUAUUUUGACGUUGUGAUUCUGAUUUUGGAUAAAUUCAAUGCGAGUUGAGGCCGAUUCGAGGGGCAAAGGCGUCGCGGGCUGGAGUUUUGACUGGAUUGAGGUGAGUAAUGAUUUUAAAUGUUGUCAUGAGGGUAUGAAACCCCAGAUUACACAUCGUUGUGCUAUAAUGAGGUGACACACGUGCUAGAUGACGAGCAUGGGGUCGUACACCGUUGGAGAUUGUGACUUAGUCCGUCCCGAAUGACUGUUUUACCGCGUAUUUGAUUGAAAAUUGUUUGCUAUUAUCAUGUUUUGGGCGAAAUGCCAUAUUUGGGCCUUGUGCCAACUAUUUGGGCCCUUAGGGGAUUUUUACUGAUAUUUUCUCACUGUUUUGACUUUAUACUUGUACUCAGCCAUGUUUACUCUAUUUUAAUACAUUAAAUGAUAUUUUAAAUGAUAAUUUAGGCUGAGCAUCAUGUUUUAUUGUUGCCCAAGUGGCUUAUGAUAUUCUGACUGAGUAAGGCCGGGGGCCUGUGUUGCGAGGAUACACUGAUUUAUGAUUAUGAGGCUGAGGGCCUGCGUUGUACGCCACGAGGUGGCUUGAUAUGAGACUGAGAGCCUAUUGAUUAUACCACGAGAUGGCUUGAUAUCGCGCUGGGCCGUAAGGGGUCCCUCCCGGAGUCUGCACACCCCCAGUGAGCGCGAGUACCCAUUAUGAUAUGCGUAUAUAACACCAUCUGGUCACGGGUCAAUGUACAUGAAUGCAAUGCAUGAAAAGUACGUUAAUAAAAUCUUUCGGAAUGUCGUAAGACCAUUUUGACUUUGAGUAAUAUCAUAAAGUAAACUCUUUUCAAUUUUUGUAUUUUUUUGAGACCCAUGAACAGAUGAUAAUAUAUUAUGACACAUAGAAAUUCAAGAACAUAGAUAUCUCUAAUACUUCUAUGAAUAGAGUUUGUCACACCUCUUUUUUACACACCCGAAAGUAUAGAUAGGGAGUUUUCCCAAUUUAAGUGACAUUAUUCGAAAUGAGACUAUUUAAUUUAUUUCAGAUUCGCCACUUGGGAUAUUUAUUAUGGUGUCCCAAGUCACCGGUUUAUUUUAAGUCCCAAAUCGAGGAAAUUCAACUUUCCUUUGGAAGUCUGCGAACCAGAAAUUCUAAGUAAGGAAUUCUGUUAACCCGGGAGAAGGUGUUAGGCAUUCUCGGGUUCCGUGGUUCUAGCACGGUCGCUUAAACUAUUAUAAUUGGCCUAUUAUCUGAUUACAAUACAUGUUUUAGCCUAUGGUUCAAUUUCCUUAUUAACCGCUUUUAAUAAUUAUUGUUACAUAUUGUAAUCAUGUCACGGGAACCGUACCCACGAUCUGCAAUAUAUUUAGUUUUUAAAGAUUAAAUUGUGGUCGGGUCACAUAAAUGCACCCCGAGUUUUAGUAAUUAGGCGUCACAACUACGUCACGGGAACCGUACCCGUAGCUAUGACAAUUAAUCAAUUAACGUGCUUAAAGCAACUAAGAAAUUUCAGGCAAUUUCUAUACUAAUUUUUAUUUAUAUGAGGGCCAUAAAUUAUAGGAUUUUAUUUGUAUAUGGCACACCCCAAUUUAUUUGAUCUAAAUUUGUGAGGGCCAAGUAUUAUAGAUUUAAAGCAUGGCACACCUCAAGUUAUUCUUUAAAAAAAAAUUUAUAUUUUAAAGGCAAACUAAAGGUGCUCUCGUUUUUUACUAAUUUAAAAACUAGCUAUCACAACCACGUCACGGGAACCGUACCCGUAGUCGUAAAAUUUUUAAAAUCGCGCCUAAAACAAGCCACGAGUAUAAUGAUGCUAAACAACAAAGGUAAUGAACUAACAAUAUUGUUGCGAGACAGUUUGUUAACCUUUUCAUAGCAGAAACUCAAACUCCUACAAUAAGCAUGUUAUCAGAUACCUAUUUGAAGUGAAACAACGUUCUUUUGUAGAGAAAGUUAACAAUUAAUUGUAGUGGAAAUUGUAAUGUUUCAAAAUAAUGAUAAUAUCCCAACUCCCAUGCAUCAAAUCCAAGUGCUAAUGGAUAAGUAAUUUCUUACAAAGGUAAAGGACGGGUACAUUAUACCUAUAUGUCUAAAGAUCAACAGAUUUCCAAUGUCAAAUUUACCACUCACGUAUGCUAAUUUUACCUAAGAGCCGCAGGUCUCUUAAUUUGAGUUUACCAACAAAGACCAACUCUUGAGCCAACAACAACAAAGUUUAUAUAAACACACAUAGGCCAUUUAAUGAACUAAGUGACUAAGUAAUUAGAAAAGUCACAUAAUAUUAAGCUAAAUGAAAACAAGGGAAAUGAAUUUCUUAUCACUUCAAUUCAAUACAUGUCAAAUGAUGAGUAUAAAACAGUAAGCACCUAAAGUUAAUUUAAAAUAAAACUUUGAUUCAUGAGCUUCAAUUAAGUGACAACAAACUUAACGCCUCAAUCAUACUUCACUUUUGAUAAACGAGAAGGAACCAGUAAUUGAAAAUUGUAAAUGAGGAUAUUAAGUAAGAACACCAAGGUUUGUAUUUCAGUUACCCAUUUUCACAAUCAAAUUCACAAAACUUAACUUAUAGGCGAUCAAAGUCAGAGUUGAUUCGAAGAGCUCCAAACACAUUUUAAGACACACAGUUAAAUUAUGGACACUAACAGAUCUUUUUCGAUAACAAAUUAGGACAACUUCAAGCAAUAAAUCAGUCGUAAUUAAAGCAAGAAAAUUAAUCAAAUAAGUUAUAUAGUCAUGUUUAAAACUCAAAGCAGUCAAAUACCAAGUCAGUGAUCCCAAAAUCAAAUUAGAUUUGCAACCCAAUGUGUCUGAACCAAACAAAUCCAGAAUCGUAAAUGUUCAAUCUUAGAAGUAAAACCAACACACUUAGCGGGAAGAGAUGCAAACUGAAUAAACUUAAACGGAUAUCAAGAACGAACCUGUUAAGUAUGCUUUCUUUAUAGCAAUUAUAGAAUCGACAAAUACACUGUUUUCUUGACUCCAAAAUUCCAACGAGAUUCAACAACUGUAUCCAGUAGAAUUUGCAAGCCAAAUCGAAAUUUUGAAAGACCACUUUGGACAGAAUCAACAGAGUGCAAAAAAUUCAAAACUCCAUCCCCAAUAUUCAACUUGAGGAUUUAAACCAAACUUCCUUUCUAAAAAAAAAGAACAGAAAUCAAGAGAAAAGAAAACAAGGCUAGAAGAAAUAUGUUUCAGCAAUCUUUUUUUUUUUUGAUUUUUUCUCUUAAAAACCAAAACAAAUCUAGAAUGAAAACUAAAUUCAAGCCAUAUAAGACUUACCUCAUAUAUAUAGACUUCAAAAACUUCAAAAAAUCUGCCCAAAAUCCGAAAAUCCCUCGAGUUGUUUUGAACAAUUUUGGAACAAAUAGAGGGCGUGGAUUGAUUCACAUCUAUCCACGGCUCCCAUUCAUCCAACAAUUGUCGUCUUUAUACAUAAAUCCACGAUUUUGAGUGAAUAUUCGUACUCCUCUCUGACAAAUCCAUUGGGAAAUAGAGGUGACAUGGAGAGGAGGGGACCAAUGAGUGAACUCGGGUGAUCUUCAGGCGAGUUGGGUUGGGCUCAGUGAAGAAGAUGAAUAGUAGCGCCGUUUCUCUGAUUUCUAUAGGGU
RNAcentral lists this long non-coding RNA (10727 nucleotides) under Nicotiana tabacum (common tobacco). RNAcentral's name for it is "long non-coding RNA (NTAB_LNC002674)". The record is from RNAcentral. Lineage: Eukaryota; Viridiplantae; Streptophyta; Magnoliopsida; Solanales; Solanaceae.